AUACAGAGGGUGCAAGCGUUAAUCGGAAUUACUGGGCGUAAAGCGCGCGUAGGCGGUUUAAUCAGUCGGAUGUGAAAGCCUCGGGCUCAACCUGGGAACUGCAUUCGAUACUGUUAAGCUAGAGUAUGGUAGAGGGAAGUGGAAUUCCAGGUGUAGCGGUGAAAUGCGUAGAUAUCUGGAGGAACAUCAGUGGCGAUGGCGACUUCCUGGACCAAUACUGACGCUGAGGUGCGAAAGCGUGGGGAGCAAACAGGAUUAGAAACCCUAGUAGUCC
RNAcentral lists this ribosomal RNA (274 nucleotides) under uncultured bacterium. RNAcentral describes it as "partial 16S ribosomal RNA". It matches the Rfam family "Bacterial small subunit ribosomal RNA", at positions 523 to 796 of the family's 1533-position model. The record is from RNAcentral.